RNAcentral lists this long non-coding RNA (2212 nucleotides) under Nicotiana benthamiana. RNAcentral describes it as "long non-coding RNA (NBEN_LNC017397)". The record is from RNAcentral. Lineage: Eukaryota; Viridiplantae; Streptophyta; Magnoliopsida; Solanales; Solanaceae.
GAAAAAUUUACAAAAAGGAGACACGAAAAAAUUUCACAAAAAAAAACGUCUGGGGAAAUCAUAAAAAAGGGCCGCCGCAAUUUCAAAACAAAAACCAAAAAAUCGUACCCCUACCCCCUGAGUUCAUCUUCUCCAAACGACCUCUCUGAAUUUCAUCUCUUCGACCCAACGCCCGGAAUCUGAAGCUUCAAAGCCAACCAACGACCCCUCAUCUCCUUCAUCUCUCAAUCACCAAACAAACAGCCGCCGCAAAGCUCACCGUGAAACCAGCUGCGCGCACACGCACGUAGAAGAACUUAACAGGCCUGAGCAGUGACCACAACAGCUGUGUUACUGGCCGAAGAACAUAACGAUAGACCCUGCCGGUCUCCCCUCCUCUCCAGAAACAUACUUUACGCGCACGAUCUAAACAUGAGGCAACGCCUCCUAGUUUCAAAGAGCAAAAGGAUUAAUCUAGCAAUCACGUUUUGGAUUCAGUAAUAUCUUUCAAAAAAAUAUCUUUCGUGUUCCGGUCCAGUUUGAAAUUCCGGCGAGUUUCAGGUUUGUCAGUGGUCGUUGUUCAAGGAGCUCCGUUUAAGUUUCUGCCGAGGUUCCGUCGCGGGUCCAACGCAUUCGACGUUAGUCGCGAGCAGGUUAUCCUCAACUCUGCCCCAUGUUCUUCGUAUUUUCUUCUGGUAAUAUGCAUAUGUGAUCUUGAAAUAUAAUGGUAGCUCAUGUGGAUCAUUUUUUAGUUGAACUUCACUGUGAUUUGUUUUCAAUGAUGACUUGGGUUAUUCCAAAGCAAGGAAUGUGUACGUUGGUAUUAGAUUCAUGGUAAUUGGAUUAUGAAAUAAUGAAUACGUUUCUGAAUGAUCUUUACAACCUGAGACCGGAAGAGGAUAGUCAUUAGAACAUUUCUCAUGUAUGAUUACAAAGAUUAAAGUAGGAGUAUCUUCAGUUUGCCUUAAUGAAGUAAUUCAUUUCUUUGAAAAUCAAUUGAGGUGUGUUGUGCAAUGACAAUUGCACGGCAUUCAUUUGUUUAAUUAUGUAUUGAUCCUUAGAAUCCGAAGUGUGUCAUCUAACAAACUCCAUAGCCUUGCAAAGUGCAAAUGUGUAGUUGCUUUAGGCACGUUUUUAAUAAUCUACCUUCCUAAACUCGGGUGAGCAUUGAUUGCGACGGGGUUCGAAACGCGUUUUCACGACGUCGUAAUUCUUAUAAAAUAAAUGAUGAUAGAACAGAGGUUCACAAAUUGAGGUGAGCCUCACCGAACAAAAAUAAAUAAAUGUGUGGCCCUCAAUAAAAGGUCAUUAAAAAUGAUUAGAAUUUGGGAGGGUUGUUUAGCGAAUUUCACGAUCUUCCCCAAAAUAAUAUUACGUUAGAAUCUUUAGGCGCGAUUUAAUUAAAUUACUUCCUUAAACUUGGGUGUGCAUUAAUGCGACCCAAAUCCAAAUCUCGACGAAGUCGAAAUGGGUUGACAACCACGGGUGCAUUGAUUGCGACAUGGUUCGAAAUGCGUUUUCACGACGUCGCAAUUCUUAUAAAAUAAACAAUGAUAAAAAGCGGUUCACGAAUAAAAGGCACAUAAGCUAGCAUGUAUUAAAAUCAGAUAAAAUCAAGGACAACAAUUAAGCGAUCGCGCUAGAACCACGGAACCCGUAAAUGCCUAACACCUUCUCCCGGGUUAUAGAAUUCCUUACUCGAAUUUUUGGUUCGCAGAUUGUAACAGAGUCAUAUUUUUCUCGGUUCGGGAUUCAACCGGUGACUUGGGACACCAUUAAUCUCCCAAGUGGCGACUCUGAAUAAUUAAUAAUCAAAUCCCGUUUCGAUUGUUCUUUAAGAGGAAAAACUCAUUUAUGCCCUCGCGGGUGCAACGAAAAAGGAGGUGUGACAGCUCCUCAGGCAAAGCAGGAGCAAUGUGUGUUGUUAAGAAAAGAAAUGGUAAAAUGAUGAUGGCCUUCUCAUCACCAUUUCAUUUCAUGACUAACAAUUACUCUGAAAUGCAAGCAGCCAUGUUUGGUAUUCUCUAGUAUUGUGAGCAAAACUGCCAAGAUUUAAUUGUAGAACUAGACUCUCUUCUAUAUGUCCAUAUGAUCCUAUGAGUAUACAACAUACCAUGGAGACUCAAAGAAGACGUCACUCGGAUUCAACAAAAGGUGAAACAACAUGACAUCAAGAUAAAACAUUGCUACAGGGAAGGGAACUAAGUGGCCGAUACUCUAGCCAAACAUGCUA